This 518-nucleotide ribosomal RNA is filed under the name Pseudomonas sp. RNAcentral's name for it is "bacterial SSU rRNA". It matches the Rfam family "Bacterial small subunit ribosomal RNA", at positions 61 to 574 of the family's 1533-position model. Lineage: Bacteria; Pseudomonadati; Pseudomonadota; Gammaproteobacteria; Pseudomonadales; Pseudomonadaceae. The record is from RNAcentral.
GUCGAGCGGAUGACGGGAGCUUGCUCCUUGAUUCAGCGGCGGACGGGUGAGUAAUGCCUAGGAAUCUGCCUGGUAGUGGGGGACAACGUUUCGAAAGGAACGCUAAUACCGCAUACGUCCUACGGGAGAAAGCAGGGGACCUUCGGGCCUUGCGCUAUCAGAUGAGCCUAGGUCGGAUUAGCUAGUUGGUGGGGUAAUGGCUCACCAAGGCGACGAUCCGUAACUGGUCUGAGAGGAUGAUCAGUCACACUGGAACUGAGACACGGUCCAGACUCCUACGGGAGGCAGCAGUGGGGAAUAUUGGACAAUGGGCGAAAGCCUGAUCCAGCCAUGCCGCGUGUGUGAAGAAGGUCUUCGGAUUGUAAAGCACUUUAAGUUGGGAGGAAGGGCAGUAAGCUAAUACCUUGCUGUUUUGACGUUACCGACAGAAUAAGCACCGGCUAACUCUGUGCCAGCAGCCGCGGUAAUACAGAGGGUGCAAGCGUUAAUCGGAAUUACUGGGCGUAAAGCGCGCGUAG